Molecule: ribosomal RNA, 274 nt
Filed under: uncultured bacterium
Lineage: Bacteria
Description: partial 16S ribosomal RNA
Rfam family: Bacterial small subunit ribosomal RNA
Source: RNAcentral
AUACGGAGGGGGCUAGCGUUGUUCGGAAUUACUGGGCGUAAAGCGCGCGUAGGCGGUCCGCGUAGUCAGGCGUGAAAGCCCCGGGCUCAACCUGGGAACUGCGUUUGAUACUGAUAGACUAGAGGCCGGGAGAGGGUAGUGGAAUUCCCAGUGUAGAGGUGAAAUUCGUAGAUAUCGGGAAGAACACCGGUGGCGAAGGCGGCUACCUGGACCGGACCUGACGCUGAGGUGCGAAAGCGUGGGGAGCAAACAGGAUUAGAUACCCCAGUAGUCC